GGGGCUUUGCGUUCUAUAUUAACAAUAAUAAUAUAACAAAAUAUGAGAAUAUUUGACAUAACGCCCUGGGCUUCUCAAAUCCUAAGGAACGUCUUGUAUCAAUUGGGUACCGUUUGGCCUUUGAUGCCUACAAAUGUUAUUUUAUCGCGAGUAUAGAUAAUGAACAAUAUUAUGAAAUAACUAAAUAUUAAGGGUACAAUACGCGCUGAAUCUAACUGGU
Non-coding RNA from Cinara cedri, 220 nucleotides. The record is from the annotation of a GenBank genome assembly. Lineage: Eukaryota; Metazoa; Arthropoda; Insecta; Hemiptera; Aphididae.